GAUGAACGCUGACAGAAUGCUUAACACAUGCAAGUCUUUGGCGAAGCUGUGCUUGCCUAGCCUAGCCAAGGCGGACGGGUGAGUAACGCGUAAGGAACUUGCCCUGCAGUCAGGGAUAACAGACGGAAACGACUGAUAAGACCUGGUAAAGUCAGGCGGACUCAUGUCCAGCCUGAUGAAAAGAGAUGCUGCAGGAGAGCCUUGCGUCCUAUUAGCUUGUUGGUGGGGUAACGGCCCACCAAGGCGAUGAUAGGUAGCCGGCCUGAGAGGGUGGACGGCCACAAGGGGACUGAGAUACGGCCCUUACUCCUACGGGAGGCAGCAGUGGGGAAUAUUGGACAAGGGGGGCAACCCUGAUCCAGCAAUUCUGUGUGCACGAUGAAGGUUUUCGGAUUGUAAAGUGCUUUCAGCAGGGAAGAAAAAAAUGACGGUACCUGCAGAAGAAGCGACGGCUAAAUACGUG
RNAcentral lists this ribosomal RNA (463 nucleotides) under uncultured bacterium. RNAcentral describes it as "partial 16S ribosomal RNA". It matches the Rfam family "Bacterial small subunit ribosomal RNA", at positions 28 to 507 of the family's 1533-position model. The record is from RNAcentral.